Canis lupus familiaris (dog) is the source of this 639-nucleotide long non-coding RNA. RefSeq lists it as uncharacterized. Lineage: Eukaryota; Metazoa; Chordata; Mammalia; Carnivora; Canidae. The transcript is spliced from 3 exons. The record is from RefSeq and is a predicted model, not a curated record.
AUGCCCACCCUCUCCAGUUAUUUAUGGGCAUUCCUCACAUUAGAAUGCUAAUUGUUUCACUUCUGCUGCUCACUCAUCUACUGGUAGCAGCUGUAUUGGGACAGGAGGACCCGAGAGGCCAUAGCCCUCUAGAGAACCUGGUAUUUGAAGUUUCUUUGUCUCUCUUCAUGUGCAUACCCCUGAAGACAUUUCAAGGGUGCUUUCAUAAGCAUAGCUUUUAAUGGCUAACAAAUAACAUGUGUGGAAUGCCAUAUUUAAGACAUUUAUAAUUCCAGCUUAAGCGAAUAUUGCUACAGCGCACAGGUAUUUGAAGUUGCAAGGAAUAUCUGAUGGUUUGUUUUCCAAGGACAGGUGAAAAAUUGUCCAAGGAAGAAUUUAUCAAUAUGGGAAACUCUCCCAAGAUAAAGGACCCUGAGAGUUGAUGCCAUCAUACAGUUGGAAGUUGCUGUUAAAAGCUUGAGGAAAAUGAUGGUUCACAUUAAGUGAAGUGGAAUGCCAAAUGCUGUGUGACAGACAACGAAGAAGGGAUCAAAGGCUGAUGAAGUAGAUGUACUACAUAAGGCUAGAAAGCCCACCUGAUGACUACAUUCUAAAGGAAGUCCCAGACUUAAAAAAUAAAUAAAUAAAGUUGCUUGGCUG